This 2019-nucleotide long non-coding RNA is filed under the name Mytilus galloprovincialis (Mediterranean mussel). Lineage: Eukaryota; Metazoa; Mollusca; Bivalvia; Mytilida; Mytilidae. The record is from RNAcentral.
CUAACAACAGAGACAAUUCUAAUAUAAUUUUAACCUAAUUUUUACUCAUCAUUUGUUGUAAAAUUUUUGAAUAAAAUGCCAUAUACUAAAAGUAAUCGUUACAUAAGCAAUUUCACAACAAUGAUAAACAAUUUCAAAAAAAAUAAACAUGUUAAUACAAGAUCAUUUAUGCCAUGACGUUCUAAAAACAGCUUUGACAUUUUGAAAAAAAAAAAUACCACUUGUUUCAAGUCCUCAAAAAGUGUCCUGAUUCUUUGAUUAAAGUCCCAUAACUCUUGGUAAGCAAAUUUGGAGAUUCUAAAUAUUGAUCAUCAAGCCCUGCAACAACAGAGGAAAGUUUGAGUAAAAUUUAUCAAAGUCUACUUGUGUAAGAGAGUAAUAUAUUUUAAAAUCAUUUCUGACUGUUUUAAAUUAAGUCCAAUAACUUGAAUAAAAAGCUUAAGAAAAAAAAAAAAAAUCAAAAUUAAAAGGAUGCUUUCUUCCAUGGAUUCAAAUAUCCAAUUCAAUGUUCCUGUAAUUUGAUCAAAACAUUUUAUAGCUUUUGUAAAAAGAUGAUCUCUGUUGGAUGCAUGGACAAAUAAAAAACAAUAGUAUAUAUAUAACCAUAAUGUGUCCCAUCUAUGAUAGAUAUAUAAAGAUGGAGAAAGUCUCUAUAAAUGUACAACAUGGCAGUUUCACAGCUAAUUUAAAAUAUGCCCUAAAUGUAAUAAAAACAAAUGAGUCAUUGUAAUUUUAUUUGAUAAACAAAAGACGAUUUGAAAUAUAUACUUACACUUAAAAUUUGUGAACUUUUACCGUGUAGGAUAUUUUUUUAACUGUAGGGAAGUAAUAAAUAUUUUAAAAAUUUAAAAACCAACUCUUUAUAUCAUAAUGGCUUCUUCUUGUUAAUUUCAUCAUGUACUUAAUGCAUCAACCAAAGACGUUUUAUGAUUAUUAUUAAAAUUUGAAUCCUGAAACUGCAGUUACUUAAAACUGUCUGCUACAUUAGUAUGAAAACAUAUGAAUUAACUUAACAUUUUCCCUUUAAUUUUUUGGCUUUCAAUGAUUAAAAUUUACCUCCUACAAAUCAUUUCUUUAAUGAUGGAAGCAUGAGAAAUGGCACAAAUUUUAUCAUAAAAAUUGCACAAAAUUGUAAUGUCAUUCAGUCGUCAAAAUAAGUAAUGGCUAUAAAGACCCUGUUUCAAAAAAAGAUUUUUUGUCAGCACUUGUUUCACAAAUACAUGUACUCUGAAAUGACCUAGGAUUUAUCAUAUACUCAAGUUUUUAACAAACUUUAGCAAAAAUAAAAAUAAAAAUUUGUUGCACUAAUAAAUUUCAAACAUACAAAUACCACUACAUAGAUAAUUUAAGUGUGUAUUCCUAAUGGGAAUAAAAGCAUUAAUUCAUGGCCUCCAUUACUUUCUAUUCUAAAUUCUAUAAUUUCCAGUUUUCAUAGCUAUGUGUUUUUAAUUUAUAAAGUAACAGUCCUAAACAAUACCUUCCCCUGGUGUAUGCUGUUUAAAUCAACAUAUGGUUAUAUUAAUAAAGAGCCAAUGGUUCCUGGAAGUUCAGAAGUUGCAAAAACAGCUGCUUCUGAUCUGAUAAACAGGCAAAGAAUGCCAUGUAUUCUAAUUUCAUACAAAACAAACAUUCAUCAAGGGUUCAGUUGUGAUUCCAGAUCUCAUACAAAAAUUACCCACAUUUCCUACAUAUUCUAAAAUUGAAAGCUAUGUGUAAGAACUGUUUGUUUGAAAUACAUGUAGAUAGAUGUACUAGAUUCUAAUAUAUUCUUCAUCACCAGGCCCAAAUUAGUGGUUCUAUGCUAUUAUGAUUAUUUGCUAAAUAUGGUCCCAAAUAAAAAAUAUAACAUAAUAGAAAUAAUAGCAUAAUAAGAUGAUGUCAUCUGGAAAAAGCAAAAAUACCAUGUAUCAUACAACCUUGUAGAAAUAUAAAGAAUAUUCGAAAGACAUUUAUUACAUACAGAAAUAUAAAUAAAAAUUUAAAAAAGCAAUUUAAAAGUCAAUAUUAUAUGUAUAUAUU